This is a long non-coding RNA of Triticum dicoccoides, 1083 nucleotides long. RefSeq lists it as uncharacterized. Lineage: Eukaryota; Viridiplantae; Streptophyta; Magnoliopsida; Poales; Poaceae. The record is from RefSeq and is a predicted model, not a curated record. The transcript has 4 exons.
CAUCGGUUCUUCGCCGCUGCCCCACUCGAUGCACGCCAUCUCCGCCGCCCCCACCCCCACCCCCACGGUCGUCGCCUGCCGGUCAGCGCCCCUACUCACGCACUACCCAGGCGUGAGGGCCAUAGCAAGGGCCUGUUCGAUACACACACAUCAAAGUCCACCAUGGACUUGUCCAGGUGAGGAGUUAGUUUGUGGUUGUGGAUACCUGACCUUGUCUUCAGUUAAAUUGGAGGUUUCUGGUUCAGUUUUGCUGAAUAGUGUGUGAUUUGAUUGUAUGUCGUGUAUGGUAAAUGCGGCUUCGGUGGCGCCGGUGGAGGAAGAGUUGUAGGUGAGCACCUGGACUUGAUGCAGGGUCGUCGAAGAGAAGGACGACGGCCCGGCCUUCAUACACAUGAUGGAACACACAUUGCCGACAAUGCGGUACCAAGCCUAGAGAAGGGAUCCUGAGAAUGCCCGCCGCAGUAUUGCAGCAGCACUAUCUCAAAGACGUGUCGCCGGGUGUUGUUAGGGAUUUCUUCUGGCAUGAUGACUUUCGGAUCAAGAACACUUGGGUCAAUAUGCUUCUGUAGCAUGAGACAUUGAACGGGUGCACAAAGACUGGAACAAUGGUUGUUUGCUGGGUCAGGAAGUUUCCAUUCUUCUGCAACGACAUGGAGUAUGUUAUCGGUCGCAGGGUAUGGGCAUCUCGAAAGACGUACUACUACGCUAAUAAGGACUUCAGAGCCUGCUAAGCAUGACGGGAGGACUGCAAUUGAUAGAAACAAGAGAGAACAGGGUUGGUUAGCUUGAACCAGAGCUUGCUUGAAGCAUAUGCACAUCCGGACAUGAUUUGGAUUGAGUAAGCACGUAAAGUUGUGAUGCUAACACAUACCAAGUGGAGAGCAAUAUCACAGGGUUACCGUGCUAGGAAUAUGCUAUGCAUACAUCAUUCAUGUAAUGAUCUUCUAUUUAUGUUUCUUAAGCCAUUAAUCUUAGGCUAAAGUGUAGUUUAUUAGAGCAGUAUUUGAAUGAAACAAAUACUGACACGGAAUGUGGAAGGUUUGAAGAUUUUCUUAUAUAAUUCUUUGAGAACAGAUAAGUAAA